GGGAAUGCGGCUUAGUGGUAGAGUGCUUGCCUAGCAUGCAUGAAGCCGUGGGUUCGAUUCCUCAGUACCA
Dipodomys ordii (Ord's kangaroo rat) is the source of this 70-nucleotide non-coding RNA. NCBI's taxonomy places the organism in Eukaryota, Metazoa, Chordata, Mammalia, Rodentia, Heteromyidae. The record is from Rfam.